GAUGAACGCUGGCGGCGUGCCUAAUACAUGCAAGUCGAGCGAACAGAUAAGGAGCUUGCUCCUUUGACGUUAGCGGCGGACGGGUGAGUAACACGUGGGUAACCUACCUAUAAGACUGGGAUAACUUCGGGAAACCGGGGCUAAUACCGGAUAACAUUUGGAACCGCAUGGUUCUAAAGUGAAAGAUGGUUUUGCUAUCACUUAUAGAUGGACCCGCGCCGUAUUAGCUAGUUGGUAAGGUAACGGCUUACCAAGGCAACGAUACGUAGCCGACCUGAGAGGGUGAUCGGCCACACUGGAACUGAGACACGGUCCAGACUCCUACGGGAGGCAGCAGUAGGGAAUCUUCCGCAAUGGGCGAAAGCCUGACGGAGCAACGCCGCGUGAGUGAUGAAGGGUUUCGGCUCGUAAAACUCUGUUAUUAGGGAAGAACAAAUGUGUAAGUAACUGUGCACGUCUUGACGGUACCUAAUCAGAAAGCCACGGCUAACUACGUG
This 497-nucleotide ribosomal RNA is filed under the name uncultured bacterium. Its description in RNAcentral is "partial 16S ribosomal RNA". It matches the Rfam family "Bacterial small subunit ribosomal RNA", at positions 28 to 507 of the family's 1533-position model. The record is from RNAcentral.